This 1113-nucleotide long non-coding RNA is filed under the name Gallus gallus (chicken). RNAcentral's name for it is "long non-coding RNA NONGGAT002138". Lineage: Eukaryota; Metazoa; Chordata; Aves; Galliformes; Phasianidae. The record is from RNAcentral.
UUGUGGAGGAUAUUUGCUUUAAAUUUUCUGUGCUCUGAAUUAGUAUCUUGACAUAGAGUAAGUUCGUUUUCUGUUGGUAGAGCCCUUUCCUUGGUGUCAAGUGGGGCUGCAAUGCAACCAGGAUUCAAGGAAGAGUUCUGUCUGCUUAGGCCGUGGGGACAGGACCCGGGCUCCGUCCUCACCGUGGCUGUGAUUUGCUGUGGUGGUUGUGCAGGCACUGCAUGCUAACUGGCCUCAGCUUAUCCUUCUUUAGAGUAAACGUGGUAUCGUGCCAAAAAGCAAGGCUACGCCGAUCAAAACAUGCCCUAUCAAAUAUUUAUUAAUCUGCUACUCUGUCAUAUGUGGUAACUCCAAAACAAAUCGACUGCACAGUCCUCUGUGGAAAACAGCUGUGCAAAGUAGGCAGGGAGUGCCACUGUCCCUCUUACACCACAUCACUGAGAUGAAGGGAAUUUUUCAUUUUAACCUUUGCUACUUACUUCUUUAGUGAGACUGCGCCAUGCACUGUGAUCCUCAGAGAGCUGCUGUCUGUCACUGCCCAUUGCUUUGCUUCUGCUCUGCAUUCUGCUGCAGGAGGGUGAGAAGCUGGAACAGCAGUACAUCUAAAUGUAUUCUUUCUUGAUGGGCUUUUAUUGAUCUUCCAGCAACCCUAAAGCAAAAGAAUGAAGCAAAUAUUGCACCCUGAAGACACCAGUGGUCAGAGAAUUAAGAUCACUUUCCCUUCUCAAAAUGCUUUAUAAAGUAGCAAGAUGUGUGUGUGAAUUAUUUACACUUCAAAAUGCAUAGAAUCCUACAGGAGAAGUCUUCAUUAGCAGCUGCGCACGAUUGACAUGCUGACAGAUCCAGGCCUAGAAUAAGUAGAUUUUGAUCCAAGAGCCACAGGAAAAUCUCAGCUCAUUGUUUCUGUGCGGGUGGAGAGGGAAGGACUGAAGCAUUUGACUCAGAGCAGUGCUCUGUUCUCAGGAGACAACUGGAGCCAAGGAAGAGAAGUGGCAAGAGGACUCCUCUGGCGACAUUUUGGUAGUCACCGUAACUUGGACAAGCCAGGAGAGAGCUGGCUGGGGGACCUGAAGCAGGAGAAGAUCAAGGAGAAGAGUCCUGAUGUUAUGGAGG